UCCCCUGCUUUGGCUCUUUCUCUGUGCGUGUGAGUCUGGGGUCUCUUCUUCCUGCCGUGCAGCCGUCGCUUUUUGUGCGUGAGGCUAGGGUCUCUCCUGCCAGCUCGCUCUCGCUCUUUGUGUGGGAGACUGGGGUCUUUCCUGUGCUCUCGCUUUGGCUCUUUGUUCGUGUGAGGCUGGGGUCUCUCCGAGUGAGGUUAGGGUCGCUUUCCUGCUUUUUUGCUGUUUCUCCGUGCGUGAGAGUCUGGGGUCUUUCCUGUUUUCUUGUUUUCGCGCUUUGUUCGUUUGAGGCUGGGGUCUCUCUUACUCUCGAUUCUUAUCUGUGCUUGUGGGGAUGGGGUCUCUUGGUUUCUCGGUUUUUCUGGGCAUGUGGGGUUGGGGUCUCUUGUUUUCUCUAUUUCUCUCGGCGUGUGGGGAUGGGGGUCUCUGCUGAUCGAUUUCGCUGGGUGCAUGAGACUGGGGUCUUUCUCCUACUUCCCUUCUUUCUCUGAGUGUGAGUCUGGGGUCUCUGUUUUCACUCUUUACCUGGGCGUGUGAGGCUGGGGUCUCUCUCUUGCUAAUUUUAUGCGCCAGAGGUGGGGGCUUUCCCGGGCGCGCGUGUUUAGCGCUAGCUUUCCGUGUUUGUGAGGCUGGGGGCUCUCUCCCUGCAUGUUUAUGAGGUGGGGGGUCUCUCACCCUCUGUGUGUGGUGAAGCUGGGGUCUCUCUUAUUUUUGUUCUUUAUCUGUGUGUAUGACUCUGGGGUCUUUUUGCCCGUUCUUGCGCUUUAUUUUUUUGUAGCGGCUGAAGCUGAGGUGUCUUCUGUUUAAAUAUAUGUAUAAUAUAUAUAUGUGUGUGUGUUUGUUUUUUUUUUCUCUUUGCUUGUGAAUCUGGGGGUCUUUUCCGUUUUUAAUUUUUAUUUUUCCCGGUGCGUGUGAAGCUGGGGUCUCUCUCCAGUUCUCGAUCUUUAUCUGGACAAACGAGUCAGGGGUCUUUUCCGCUGUUUUUUCUUCCUUUCUCUGUGUGUGAGGCUAGGGUCUCUUCUGGUGCCCCCAACCCCCUCCCAUCCCGUAUGUGUGAAGCUGGGGUCUCCCUAUUUUUCUCCCCUCUGCGUGUGAGAACGGGGUCUGUUCACUCCAGUCUUUCCCAGGGCGUGAGAUUGAGGUCUCCUAUAUAUAUAUUUUUUUCCUCUGUGGGUGAGGCUGGGGUCUCUCCUGCUUGCACUCUCCGUGUGUGUGUGUGCGCGCGCGGCGGGGUUGGGGUCUGUUUACCUAUACAUUUUUUUUUCCUUCUGUGCUUGUGAAGCCGGGGUCUGUCUCUUGCUCUCGCUCUCGUUUUUAUUAGAUUGUGAGGCUGGGGUCUACAUCUCCUGCUUGCGUUCUUAAUCUAUGUGCAUCAGGCUUGUGGUCUCUACUGGUUUCCUUAUUUGUUUAUUUUCUGUGCUUGUGAGGCCGGGGUCUCUCUUGCUUUCAACCUUUUUAUUAGCUUGUGAGGUUGGGACAUUUCUCCUAUUUUGGAUCUUUUAUCUUUUCCCGUGAGGCUGGGGUCUCUUGUCAGCAUACUCAAUGAGCUUGAAGCUAGGGGCUCUCUCGGGGGCGCGCGCUACCUCUAUGAAUUUGUGAGGCCGGGACCUUUUCCCGAGUUUGUUUAUGAAGCGGGGCCCUCAACCUCUUUGAGGACGGGGGCUCCGUUUCGCUUUUUCUUUGUGAGCCUAGGGGUGGGGGGAUGUCUCCUUCUCUUACUCUCGCCUUUGAGCGUGCGCGUGUGCGUGCGUGCGUGCGUGCGUGAGUCUGGGGUCUCUGGCUCGUACCUUCUUUGUAAUCGAGGCCCGGGACUUUCUUGGCUAUGACUUUACUUUCUUUGAGUGUGAGAGCCUGGGGUCUUCUUUGAUUCACUUUUCCUCACUCCUUUGGGGUGUGCGCGGGCUUGUGAAGCUGGUUGGUCCCUUCCACGCACGCUUUCCUUGGCUCUCAGUUCAAGUGAGGCUGGGGGCACCCGUGAAUGUUUGGAUACAGCCGCGGACUGAAAAAACCCUAGCGGGUUUUGCUAGCUGGUCUGGGUUCAACACCCUUUGAAAGUUUAAUCAGAAGUGGCCAUUAGACUCGCGUAACCCAUUGGUUCCUUAUAGAAAAUGUAAAAGACCCCCAGAGAGCGGGAACAGAUACUUUAUAAUCUUUAAAUGAAGGAAUCCUUUAGGAGACCGAGAAAACAAGCCUAAUAUGUGAUCAGUGGUGGGUCCGAAGACUUCCCAAAAUAUAGGGGGGCAAUUUUCAGGAUCCCAAGUGCACUUGGGCAAACUUUCCAGUUGCCUCCCUUCUCCCCCUCAGAGAAAGUGCAAAGAAAUGCAGAUUAGCCCGCAGACCACCGGGACAAUGCCCAAUUGCCUACUGCUGCUGUCCCAACCCAAGCACUGCCCUACCUCCAAAGACAUGAAAAUCAAUGCUUCUACAUGACAUUUCUAAUAGCUCAGAAGGGAUCACUAAAAUGGCCAGAACAUGGUGACUGAGCUGGGAGGAAGAGGAAGAGAAAGAGGAAGAGACACCAAACAAGAAAGAAACAGCACGGAGAUUGAAUAUCUGCAAACAAUGUCACUCACUGCAUCAGAAAAAAGAAAUUCUAAAGGAUAAAGCAAGAACUUAGAAAAUUUCACCACCUCAUAGUGAUCCACAAGCUGCAACCUACCUUCCAAAGGCCGCUUCCAGAAAACUUUAAGUCAUCCUCAAGGAUCUUGUACGAUUAUUGCACAUCCAUGGGAGAUUCAAGUUGGUGAGAGAUUCUUUAAGG
This is a non-coding RNA of Monodelphis domestica (gray short-tailed opossum), 2761 nucleotides long. The record is from RefSeq and is a predicted model, not a curated record. NCBI's taxonomy places the organism in Eukaryota, Metazoa, Chordata, Mammalia, Didelphimorphia, Didelphidae.